Molecule: ribosomal RNA, 513 nt
Filed under: uncultured bacterium
Lineage: Bacteria
Description: partial 16S ribosomal RNA
Rfam family: Bacterial small subunit ribosomal RNA
Source: RNAcentral
GACGAACGCUGGCGGCGUGCCUAAUACAUGCAAGUCGAGCGAAUCAAAGGGAGCUUGCUUCUCUGAUGUUAGCGGCGGACGGGUGAGUAACACGUGGGUAACCUACCUAUAAGACUGAGAUAACUCCGGGAAACCGGGGCUAAUACCGGAUAAUAUUUUGAACCGCAUGGUUCAAUAGUGAAAGACGGUUUCGGCUGUCACUUAUAGAUGGACCCGUGCCGUCUUAGCUCGUUGGUAAGGUAACGGCUUACCAAGGCGACGAUACGUAGACGACCUGAGAGGGUGAUCGGCCACACUGGAACUGAGACACGGUCCAGACUCCUACGGGAGGCAGCAGUAGGGAAUCUUCCGCAAUGGGCGAAAGCCUGACGGAGCAACGCCGCGUGAGUGAUGAAGGUCUUCGGAUUGUAAAACUCUGUUGUUAGGGAAGAACAAAUUUGUUAGUAACUGAACAAGUCUUGACGGUACCUAACCAGAAAGCCACGGCUAACUACGUGCCAGCCGCCGCAGUAA